Molecule: ribosomal RNA, 1219 nt
Filed under: Escherichia coli
Lineage: Bacteria; Pseudomonadati; Pseudomonadota; Gammaproteobacteria; Enterobacterales; Enterobacteriaceae
Description: partial 23S ribosomal RNA
Rfam family: Bacterial large subunit ribosomal RNA
Source: RNAcentral
GGGUUGUGAGGUUAAGCGACUAAGCGUACACGGUGGAUGCCCUGGCAGUCAGAGGCGAUGAAGGACGUGCUAAUCUGCGAUAAGCGUCGGUAAGGUGAUAUGAACCGUUAUAACCGGCGAUUUCCGAAUGGGGAAACCCAGUGUGAUUCGUCACACUAUCAUUAACUGAAUCCAUAGGUUAAUGAGGCGAACCGGGGGAACUGAAACAUCUAAGUACCCCGAGGAAAAGAAAUCAACCGAGAUUCCCCCAGUAGCGGCGAGCGAACGGGGAGGAGCCCAGAGCCUGAAUCAGUGUGUGUGUUAGUGGAAGCGUCUGGAAAGGCGCGCGAUACAGGGUGACAGCCCCGUACACAAAAAUGCACAUGCUGUGAGCUCGAUGAGUAGGGCGGGACACGUGGUAUCCUGUCUGAAUAUGGGGGGACCAUCCUCCAAGGCUAAAUACUCCUGACUGACCGAUAGUGAACCAGUACCGUGAGGGAAAGGCGAAAAGAACCCCGGCGAGGGGAGUGAAAAAGAACCUGAAACCGUGUACGUACAAGCAGUGGGAGCACGCUUAGGCGUGUGACUGCGUACCUUUUGUAUAAUGGGUCAGCGACUUAUAUUCUGUAGCAAGGUUAACCGAAUAGGGGAGCCGAAGGGAAACCGAGUCUUAACUGGGCGUUAAGUUGCAGGGUAUAGACCCGAAACCCGGUGAUCUAGCCAUGGGCAGGUUGAAGGUUGGGUAACACUAACUGGAGGACCGAACCGACUAAUGUUGAAAAAUUAGCGGAUGACUUGUGGCUGGGGGUGAAAGGCCAAUCAAACCGGGAGAUAGCUGGUUCUCCCCGAAAGCUAUUUAGGUAGCGCCUCGUGAAUUCAUCUCCGGGGGUAGAGCACUGUUUCGGCAAGGGGGUCAUCCCGACUUACCAACCCGAUGCAAACUGCGAAUACCGGAGAAUGUUAUCACGGGAGACACACGGCGGGUGCUAACGUCCGUCGUGAAGAGGGAAACAACCCAGACCGCCAGCUAAGGUCCCAAAGUCAUGGUUAAGUGGGAAACGAUGUGGGAAGGCCCAGACAGCCAGGAUGUUGGCUUAGAAGCAGCCAUCAUUUAAAGAAAGCGUAAUAGCUCACUGGUCGAGUCGGCCUGCGCGGAAGAUGUAACGGGGCUAAACCAUGCACCGAAGCUGCGGCAGCGACGCUUAUGCGUUGUUGGGUAGGGGAGCGUUCUGUAAGCCUG